RNA transcript from Brassica napus (rape), 415 nucleotides. It is a transcript of the gene named dolichyl-diphosphooligosaccharide--protein glycosyltransferase subunit 4A, with no coding region annotated. The transcript has 2 exons. Lineage: Eukaryota; Viridiplantae; Streptophyta; Magnoliopsida; Brassicales; Brassicaceae. The record is from RefSeq and is a predicted model, not a curated record.
UCUUCGGAGAUCUGGUUCCGACUAGUGUGUUUGUUUUUGAUCUGCUCACUCUCAGUCUUAGUUUGUGUGGUCCUUUGAAUCUGUCUCUGUCGAUGAGAACUGUCAAUUUUCUCUUGUCGGAUUGUGUUUUUGGGUUUUAGGUGUUUUGAAUCUCAACUUUUCAUACAAUGUGAUCCCAUAGCGGAGUGGAUAUCGCGUUAGACUCCGAAUCUAAAGAUGAUUGAUGAUCAAGAUUUGGGGUUUAUAGUCAAUUCUCUUGGCAUCUUCAUCUUCGGAUUGGUAAUUGCUUAUCAUUACGUAGCUGCUGAUCCCAAAUACGAAGCCACUUGAGUGAAUGUAUCUUUAGAUUAUGUAAGGCUUUAUAGUUUAUAUAUGUUUCAAACUGAGAAGAGAAUAACAAAAGUCUUUGUUUAGA